Long non-coding RNA from Mesocricetus auratus (golden hamster), 610 nucleotides. RefSeq lists it as uncharacterized. The record is from RefSeq and is a predicted model, not a curated record. The transcript has 4 exons. Lineage: Eukaryota; Metazoa; Chordata; Mammalia; Rodentia; Cricetidae.
UGAACUCUCAGGGCCUGACAGAAGGUUCCUUCAGUCUGUCAGACUUCCUUGGCCUUGCUUACUCCAACACUUCAGGCACCUAAGCGUCCCUCAAGGCUCUCCUCAACAGCAGGUCUCUCUACAUCUCCCUGGCUGUCCUGGAACUCAUUAUGUAGACGACCAGGCUAACCUCAGACUCACAAGAUUCACCUGCAUCUGCUGCACAGGAGCUAGGAUCAAAGGUGUGCACCACCAUGCUUGGCAAAAGUUAAGUGCAUGGGUUUUUUGCCUGCAUGAAUGUCUGGUGUGCCUGGUGCCGAGACCAAAGGAGUGCUUAAGAUGCUCUAGGCCUGGAACAACAGAUGAUCCACAGAUGAAUCUGCUUCUUUACAGAACAACGACAUCCACAUCUAAGACUCCAGAAACAGAGGAGAGCAUGUGAACUAACAAGGUUAUCAAAGAUUUGAAAAAAGAAAAGAAAAAGACCCUCCAACACAGCUCAAAGAGAUAACCAACUCUAGCUACAAAAGAAGUCAGUAUUACCAAUUUGGCAUACAUUCUUCUAGAAAUUGAAGAUAAUUGUGUUUAUAUUGAACUAAUGACAAAAAUACUUUACUACGUAAAACUGCAU